This 72-nucleotide transfer RNA is filed under the name Marmota monax (woodchuck). RNAcentral's name for it is "tRNA.Undet". Lineage: Eukaryota; Metazoa; Chordata; Mammalia; Rodentia; Sciuridae. The record is from RNAcentral.
GGGGUUGUGGCUCAGUGGUAGAGUACUUAACCUUGCACUUGUGAGGCACUGGGUUCGAUCCUCAGCACCACA